Molecule: non-coding RNA, 2355 nt
Organism: Camellia sinensis
Lineage: Eukaryota; Viridiplantae; Streptophyta; Magnoliopsida; Ericales; Theaceae
Source: RefSeq, a predicted model, not a curated record
GCUUUCCUAUCUAACUUCUCUCUCAUUUUCCUUGACUUUCUUGGUGGCCAAACACCACAUCCUUGCUCCACCCUUACACCACCACCUUAACCCACCAUCUCCACCACCGCCGGCCACUUUAUAUCGCCGGAAAAAGGGUCCGGUCGGCCACUCCUUGAAUCCAUCCGAAAAUAGCACAAUAGAAGUACCAACUCUAGAUUUUUCUUAAUCUUUUGAAGAAUCAAAGCAUGGGGUUUAUUUUCUUGAUGGAUUAGAGGCUUGUAAUUGGAUUGGAGGAAGGCGUCUCUACACCUCUUGGGAAUUCAUUUGUAGAGUCUCAAUCUACACUUUUGCUAUUUUGGAGGUUAAGGAAGCUGUUACAGAGGGAUGUGAGAUCCUAAAUUGUGGGUUGAGUGGUGUGAGCUCAAUUAUUGUUUGCUUAAGCCUAAUGCUGCUAUGAAAUUUGUACUACUUCUUUUUGGGUAAUACUUAUUCCAUUCUUGAAUAGGCCUCUAGGUUUUUUCAGCUUGGUGACUUUUAUCAUAUUGCAGUUGUGCCUUGCUGGCAUAAUGGUGGCAAUUUGGCUGUUUAUUCUGGUGGUUUUGUGGAUUGGUUAUGGCUGCAUUGUGCACCUAUCCAAAGAUAAGGGGUAUUGGUGGUGUCAGCUUCAUGCACCCUACUACCCUUUCAGUUUUCAUUUUAUUCAUAGUUGUUAUAUGUAUAAACCUUUUGAGACUGGUCUGAUUUAUGUCCUUACAGGUUUUGUGGCCUACUCCUACGGGCAGUGUAGGAGAUAUAUCGUGUUUUGGCGUAUGGCUAGCAGUUUGGGCGUACUGUAUGUGUUUCAAUCAUGCUGAAAUCAUGGUCCCAGUGCUGCUGAGUUGAUGUUUCAUGUCUUGGGACCAAUGUUGCCUACUGUGUACAUGGUAUUGACAAGUGGUUGUUCUUGUGUUCAGGUUCUCUAUAACACAAAUACCAUCCUCAUCAUCAUCAAACUAAACAUGAAUUUUCAAAACAAUUAUAUUUCCAGAUAUGUUAUUUCUUGUCGUUACUUUUACCACAGUACUAAAUCUAGGGAUGCGGAAGUUAAACCAAAUGAGCCUAUGCCAAGUUACUCUAGACCUAUGAACUCUAAAUAGGUCCCAAGCAGAAUGUAAAGAGAAGAGACCAUUAGAUGAGAAAUAAUAAAGAAAUCAAACAAUGCUACAACUUCAAAGAUAAGAGUUUGACAAUAAUUACUGCCAAACGUUGGAUCAUCGGCUCCUUUUCAGCAUUGUUCACCUUUUUCCACCUACGAACACUCAGGUCUGGUAAUUGUAUUCGAACCUCUAUACCCAUCUUGGAGGCCAACUUAGAGGCUUGCUCUCCUAUUGGCGCACAAAACUGUUUAGGUAUAGGAACCAACAUCUUUCCACCCUUAUCAACAAUGUGUUGGGCCCGUAUGCCGCGUAUCGGGCCACGACCGCGUGUUUGUGAUGUUGCAAGGACAUAAUAUUAAUUGAGUUAGUAAGUAAACAAAUGGAAGUUAGACCUUAAAAGCAACUUUGCAAACUUACCAAUGCUGCUAGAUGCAGUCACCUCAUGCUCAGGUUGCACAUUACGAGGUAGUAAGGGUUGGUUACCAAUGUCCUGACAUAAAGGAUCCGUCCCUUCCUUUGGAGUGGCAUUUAAUGGCCUUGAAUGAGACUGUAAACGGAGUCCAGGUGGCAUAUCUUGAUCCUGAAACAACAUAAUCAAAUAGUAAAAAAGAUAUUUAACACAGUUAAAAUAUAUUUUAAAAACGAUAAUGAUGUUUAAGAUAUGUGAAGAAGAUAUGUAAAUAGUAAAAGACAUGUUCACACACAAAUAUAAAAUAAUGUAUAUAAUACCUCGUGUAGACACCCCAAUUUUGACCCUUCGUAAAACUUAGGCGCUAUAUUCCGAACACCCGAUGAUAAAAGUUACACUGUGCAAUCUUUUGAAUUCUGAGCGAAGAAAUUUGGAUUCAAGCUCUAAUUUAUUUUGUGUAUUACAGUCACAACAAAAUUUUGUUUUUGUUGUUUUGUUUUGUUUUGUUUAAAUAAAAAAAGGGAAAAGAAAAAAAACAAAAAAAAGAUACAUAAAGAAAAAAAUAAAAUAAAAUAAAAUAUAAAUUUCGUAAAUUGGUUUUGUGUCCAUUUUAUUCGCCAGUGUGUUUUGCCUAAUUUCAGUUCAUUGAGUUUUCUUUUACGUUUUCAGUAAUAGGCUCAAAUUGUCCGAUUUGAAAUACAACCAUUUCUAACAUCUAAAUAUUCAAACCAUUCUGAUUUGCCAUUCGGAUUGACAAACAAACUCAUUUUAUUAAUUUCGGGGAUUAACCCUGAUCAUAUUUGUACAAAAUAUAUACAAAAGAAAAAA